Molecule: ribosomal RNA, 332 nt
Filed under: uncultured bacterium
Lineage: Bacteria
Description: bacterial SSU rRNA
Rfam family: Bacterial small subunit ribosomal RNA
Source: RNAcentral
CACGUAGGCGGUCUGCUAAGUUCGGAGUGACAGUCACCAGCUUAACUGGUGAAGUACUUUGAAAACUGGCGGACUUGAGAGCGAAAGAGGGACAUGGAAUUCCGGGUGGAGCAGUGAAAUGCGUAGAGAUCCGGAGGAACACCAAAGGCGAAGGCAGUGUCCUGGCUCGUUUCUGACGCUGAGGUGCGAAAGCCAGGGGAGCGAACGGGAUUAGAUACCCCGGUAGUCCUGGCCGUAAACGAUGACCACUAGGCGUGGGAGGGAUCGACCCCUUCCGUGCCGUAGUCAACACAUUAAGUGGUCCGCCUGGGGAGUACGGUCGCAAGACUAAA